This 465-nucleotide ribosomal RNA is filed under the name uncultured Klebsiella sp. RNAcentral's name for it is "bacterial SSU rRNA". It matches the Rfam family "Bacterial small subunit ribosomal RNA", at positions 338 to 795 of the family's 1533-position model. Lineage: Bacteria; Pseudomonadati; Pseudomonadota; Gammaproteobacteria; Enterobacterales; Enterobacteriaceae. The record is from RNAcentral.
CCUACGGGGGGCUGCAGUGGGGAAUAUUGCACAAUGGGCGCAAGCCUGAUGCAGCCAUGCCGCGUGUGUGAAGAAGGCCUUCGGGUUGUAAAGCACUUUCAGCGGGGAGGAAGGCGGUGAGGUUAAUAACCUCAUCGAUUGACGUUACCCGCAGAAGAAGCACCGGCCAACUCCGUGGCAGCAGCCGCGGUAAUACGGAGGGUGCAAGCGUUAAUCGGAAUUACUGGGCGUAAAGCGCACGCAGGCGGUCUGUCAAGUCGGAUGUGAAAUCCCCGGGCUCAACCUGGGAACUGCAUUCGAAACUGGCAGGCUAGAGUCUUGUAGAGGGGGGUAGAAUUCCAGGUGUAGCGGUGAAAUGCGUAGAGAUCUGGAGGAAUACCGGUGGCGAAGGCGGCCCCCUGGACAAAGACUGACGCUCAGGUGCGAAAGCGUGGGGAGCAAACAGGAUUAGAUACCCGGGUAGUC